UGCAAGUCGAACGGAAUUUACAUGAAGCCUGGCGAUUGUAAAUUUAGUGGCGGACGGGUGAGUAACGCGUGGGUAACCUGCCUUGUACUGGGGGACAACAGUUGGAAACGACUGCUAAUACCGCAUAAGCGCACAGCUUCGCAUGAAGCAGUGUGAAAAACUCCGGUGGUACAAGAUGGACCCGCGUCUGAUUAGCUGGUUGGUGAGGUAACGGCCCACCAAGGCGACGAUCAGUAGCCGGCCUGAGAGGGUGAACGGCCACAUUGGGACUGAGACACGGCCCAAACUCCUACGGGAGGCAGCAGUGGGGAAUAUUGCACAAUGGGGGAAACCCUGAUGCAGCAACGCCGCGUGAGUGAAGAAGUAUUUCGGUAUGUAAAGCUCUAUCAGCAGGAAAGAAAAUGACGGUACCUGACUAAGAAGCCCCGGCUAACUACGUGCCAGCAGCCGCGGUAAUACGUAGGGGGCAAGCGUUAUCCGGAUUUACUGGGUGUAAAGGGAGCGUAGACGGUUUUGCAAGUCUGAAGUGAAAGCCCGGGGCUUAACCCCGGGACUGCUUUGGAAACUGUAGGACUAGAGUGCAGGAGAGGUAAGUGGAAUUCCUAGUGUAGCGGUGAAAUGCGUAGAUAUUAGGAGGAACACCAGUGGCGAAGGCGGCUUACUGGACUGUAACUGACGUUGAGGCUCGAAAGCGUGGGGAGCAAACAGGAUUAGAUACCCUGGUAGCCCACGCCGUAAACGAUGAUUACUAGGUGUUGGUGGGUACGACCCAUCGGUGCCGCAGCAAACGCAAUAAGUAAUCCACCUGGGGAGUACGUU
RNAcentral lists this ribosomal RNA (819 nucleotides) under uncultured bacterium. Its description in RNAcentral is "bacterial SSU rRNA". It matches the Rfam family "Bacterial small subunit ribosomal RNA", at positions 56 to 886 of the family's 1533-position model. The record is from RNAcentral.